GAUGAACGCUGGCGGCGUGCCUAAUACAUGCAAGUCGAGCGAACAGACGAGGAGCUUGCUCCUCUGACGUUAGCGGCGGACGGGUGAGUAACACGUGGAUAACCUACCUAUAAGACUGGGAUAACUUCGGGAAACCGGAGCUAAUACCGGAUAAUAUAUUGAACCGCAUGGUUCAAUAGUGAAAGCCGGUUUUGCUGUCACUUAUAGAUGGAUCCGCGCCGCAUUAGCUAAUUGGUAAGGUAACGGCUUACCAAGGCAACGAUGCGUAGCCGACCUGAGAGGGUGAACGGGCAAACUGGGACUGAGAAACGGGCCAGAAUCCUAAGGGAGGCAGCAGUAGGGAAACUUCCGAAAUGGGCGAAGGCCUGACGGAGCAAAGCCGCGUGAGUGAUGAAGGUCUUCGGAUCGUAAAACUCUGUUAUUAGGGAAGAACAAAUGUGUAAGUAACUAUGCACGUCUUGACGGUACCUAAUCAGAAAGCCACGGCUAAAUACGUG
Molecule: ribosomal RNA, 497 nt
Filed under: uncultured bacterium
Lineage: Bacteria
Description: partial 16S ribosomal RNA
Rfam family: Bacterial small subunit ribosomal RNA
Source: RNAcentral